Molecule: ribosomal RNA, 407 nt
Filed under: uncultured Glomus
Lineage: Eukaryota; Fungi; Glomeromycota; Glomeromycetes; Glomerales; Glomeraceae
Description: SSU rRNA
Rfam family: Eukaryotic small subunit ribosomal RNA
Source: RNAcentral
AGCAGCCGCGGUAAUUCCAGCUCCAAUAGCGUAUAUUAAAGUUGUUGCAGUUAAAAAGCUCGUAGUUGAAUUUCGGGAUCAAUUAGUUGGUCAUGCCGUUGGUAUGUACUGAUUUUAUUGAUUUCUCACCUUCUAAAGAACCUUAAUGUCAUUAAUUUGAUGUUUUGGGGAAUUAGGACUGUUACCUUGAAAAAUUAGAGUGUUUAAAGCAGGCUCACGCUUGAAUACAUUAGCAUGGAAUAAUGAAAUAGGACAUCCGAUUCUAUUUUGUUGGUUUCUAGGAUCGAUGUAAUGAUUAAUAGGGAUAGUUGGGGGCAUUAGUAUUCAAUUGUCAGAGGUGAAAUUCUUGGAUUUAUUGAAGACUAACUACUGCGAAAGCAUUUGCCAAGGAUUGUUUUCAUUAAUCA